CCUACGGGAGGCAGCAGUAGGAANUGCUCGCAAUGGGCGCAAGCCUGACGACGCAACGCCGCGUGGAGGACGAAGAUCUUCGGGUUGUAAACUCCUGUCAAGCGGGAAGAACAGUUUGCGGGUUAAUACCCCGCAUGCCUGACGGUACCGCUGAAGGAAGCCCCGGCUAACUCCGUGCCAGCAGCCGCGGUAAUACGGGGGGGGCAAGCGUUGUUCGGAAUUACUGGGCGUAAAGGGCUCGUAGGCGGCCAGCCAAGUCGGACGUGAAAUCCCUCGGCUCAACCGGGGAACUGCAUCCGAUACUGGUUGGCUUGAANCCGGGAGAGGGAUGCGGAAUUCCAGGUGUAGCGGUGAAAUGCGUAGAUAUCUGGAGGAACACCGGUGGCGAAGGCGGCAUCCUGGACCGGUCUUGACGCUGAGGAGCGAAAGCCAGGGGAGCAAACGGGAUUAGAUACCCCGGUAGUCCUGGCCCUAAACGAUGAAUGCUUGGUGUGGCGGGUAUCGAUCCCUGCCGUGCC
This 518-nucleotide ribosomal RNA is filed under the name uncultured bacterium. Its description in RNAcentral is "bacterial SSU rRNA". It matches the Rfam family "Bacterial small subunit ribosomal RNA", at positions 338 to 847 of the family's 1533-position model. The record is from RNAcentral.